UCUGCUGGUCUGGCCGAACUUAGCAAGGAGAGAAACACCAAGGAAGAUUUCUUCAUUUCAUCUCCAACUCCAACAAAUAAGUGAGGAAUCAAGCGAAGUAAACCGAUUAAACUUGUUUUCUAGUGACUAGCUAGUGAGUGGUGGUGUGAGUUUUGAAGGGAAGAGCUUGUGCUACUCUUGGUGACUCUUAAUCAAGAUUUGGACUCCCAACCCGGAGUACCACCUCGACGCGAAAACUAGAAGCACUAUUGUGGGGUACGAGUAACGCGAGAGAC
This is a non-coding RNA of Coffea arabica (coffee), 275 nucleotides long. The record is from RefSeq and is a predicted model, not a curated record. NCBI's taxonomy places the organism in Eukaryota, Viridiplantae, Streptophyta, Magnoliopsida, Gentianales, Rubiaceae.